RNAcentral lists this unclassified non-coding RNA (418 nucleotides) under Ascomycota sp. Iso305. Its description in RNAcentral is "sequence contains ITS1, 5.8S rRNA gene, ITS2". The stretch from base 125 to 277 matches the Rfam family "5.8S ribosomal RNA". The record is from RNAcentral. Lineage: Eukaryota; Fungi; Ascomycota.
CCCUUGAAUAUUAUACCUUAGUUGCUUUGGCAGGCCGGGGCAACCCCCGGGGCUUCGCCUUGGUGUGCCUGCCAAAGAAACAAACUCUGUUUUUAGUGAUGUCUGAGUACUAUAUAAUAGUUAAAACUUUCAACAACGGAUCUCUUGGUUCUGGCAUCGAUGAAAACGCAGCGAAAUGCGAUAAGUAAUGUGAAUUGCAGAAUUCAUUGAAUCAUCGAAUCUUUGAACGCACAUUGCGCCCCGUGGUAUUCCGCGGGGCAUGCCUGUUCGAGCGUCAUUUCAACCCAUCAGCUUCGCUUGGUCUUGGGGCCUGCAUUCCGCACCCUAAACCCAGUGGCGGUGCCUCCGAACUCUGACGAAUAAUUCUUCUCGCUAAGGGUCUCGGUGGUGUCUUGCCAGACCCCCAAUUUUUUACAGG